Molecule: long non-coding RNA, 209 nt
Filed under: Panax ginseng (ginseng)
Lineage: Eukaryota; Viridiplantae; Streptophyta; Magnoliopsida; Apiales; Araliaceae
Description: long non-coding RNA (PGIN_LNC005851)
Source: RNAcentral
UCAAUGCGGUCAUUUUAGAGAGGAUGGAUAGGUUGAGCCUCAAUGAGACUUCUAAGUUCAAUCAUCUCAUGGUGAUAACUCGAUGGAAGGAACCAAGAGGAAUUAAACAUGAUAUCAGCCACAGUGGCCUUGGCUGAAAGCCCAGAGUUGGCCAGCAGAGUCUGACUAGGGUUAAUGGGGUUACCAUUUAUCCAUGGGUCAAACCAUAA